This 321-nucleotide ribosomal RNA is filed under the name uncultured Chloroflexota bacterium. Its description in RNAcentral is "bacterial SSU rRNA". It matches the Rfam family "Bacterial small subunit ribosomal RNA", at positions 28 to 351 of the family's 1533-position model. Lineage: Bacteria; Bacillati; Chloroflexota. The record is from RNAcentral.
GAUGAACGCUGGCGGCGUGCUUAAUACAUGCAAGUCGAACGGAGUAUGUAGCAAUACGUACUUAGUGGCGAACGGGUGAGUAACGCGUUGGUGACCUGCCUCGAAGAGAGGGAUAACAAUCCGAAAGGAUUGCUAAUACCUCAUGUGAUUGUGGAGUUUAGAAGUCCAUAAUUAAAGGAGUAAUUCACUUCGAGAGGGACCUGCGUACCAUCAGCUAGUUGGUGAGGUAAUGGCCCACCAAGGCUAUGACGGUUAGGGGACCUGAGAGGGUGGCCCCCCACAAUGGAACUGAAACACGGUCCAUACACCUACGGGAGGCUG